UUAAAAUGAGAGUUUGAUCCUGGCUCAGGAUAAACGCUGGCGGCAUGCCUAAUACAUGCAAGUCGAACGGAGGUGCUUGCACCUCAGUGGCGAACGGGUGAGUAACACGUAUCUAAUCUACCUUCUAGCGGGGGAUAACUUUUGGAAACGAAAGGUAAUACCGCAUGUGGAUGUUAUUAUCGCAUGAGAAAACAUUCAAAGAUCCGUUUGGAUCACUAGAAGAUGAGGAUGCGGCGUAUUAGCUAGUAGGCGGGGUAAAGGCCCACCUAGGCGAUGAUACGUAGCCGAACUGAGAGGUUGAUCGGCCACAUUGGGACUGAGAUACGGCCCAGACUCCUACGGGAGGCAGCAGUAGGGAAUUUUUCACAAUGGACGAAAGUCUGAUGAAGCAAUGCCGCGUGAGUGAUGACGGCCUUCGGGUUGUAAAGCUCUGUUGUAAGGGAAGAAAACAUAGGAGAGGAAAUGCUCUUAUCUUGACGGUACCUUACCAGAAAGCCACGGCUAACUAUGUGCCAGCAGCCGCGGUAAUACAUAGGUGGCAAGCGUUAUCCGGAUUUAUUGGGCGUAUAGGGUGCGUAGGCGGUUUCGCAAGUUUGAGGUUAAAGCCCGGAGCUCAACUCCGGUUCGCCUUGAAAACUGCGGGACUAGAAUAUCAGAGAGGUAAGCGGAAUUCCAUGUGUAGCGGUAAAAUGCGUAGAUAUAUGGAAGAACACCAGUGGCGAAAGCGGCUUACUGGCUGAUUAUUGACGCUGAGGCACGAAAGCGUGGGGAGCAAAUAGGAUUAGAUACCCUAGUAGUCCACGCCGUAAACGUUGAGUACUAAGUAUUGGGGAUUACCUCAGUGCUGCAGCUAACGCAUUAAGUACUCCGCCUGAGUAGUAUGCUCGCAAGAGUGAAACUCAAAGGAAUUGACGGGGACCCGCACAAGUGGUGGAGCAUGUGGUUUAAUUCGAAGCAACACGAAGAACCUUACCAGGGCUUGACAUACAGUGCAAAGCUACAGAGAUGUAGUGGAGGUUAACAUUGAUACAGGUGGUGCAUGGUUGUCGUCAGUUCGUGCCGUGAGGUGUUGGGUUAAGUCCCGCAACGAACGCAACCCUUGUCGUUAGUUACUAACAUUAAGUUGAGGACUCUAACGAGACUGCUAGUGUAAGCUAGAGGAAGGUGGGGAUGACGUCAAAUCAUCAUGCCCCUUAUGUCCUGGGCUACACACGUGCUACAAUGGCCGAUACAAAGAGUCGCAAUCUCGUGAGGGGGAGCUAAUCUCAAAAAGUCGGUCUCAGUUCGGAUUGAAGUCUGCAACUCGACUUCAUGAAGCCGGAAUCACUAGUAAUCGCGAAUCAGCUAUGUCGCGGUGAAUACGUUCUCGGGUCUUGUACACACCGCCCGUCAAACCACGAGAGUUGGUAAUACCAGAAGUACGUUUCCUAACCGUAAGGAAGGCGCGUCCCAAGGUAGGACUAGCGAUUGGGGUUAAGUCGUAACAAGGUAUCCGUACGGGAACGUGCGGAUGGAUCACCUCCUUUCUAUGGAG
RNAcentral lists this ribosomal RNA (1534 nucleotides) under Mesoplasma florum. RNAcentral's name for it is "bacterial SSU rRNA". It matches the Rfam family "Bacterial small subunit ribosomal RNA". The record is from RNAcentral. Lineage: Bacteria; Bacillati; Mycoplasmatota; Mollicutes; Entomoplasmatales; Entomoplasmataceae.